Molecule: ribosomal RNA, 492 nt
Filed under: uncultured bacterium
Lineage: Bacteria
Description: partial 16S ribosomal RNA
Rfam family: Bacterial small subunit ribosomal RNA
Source: RNAcentral
AGUGAACGCUGGCGGUAGGCCUAACACAUGCAAGUCGAACGGCAGCACAGUAAGAGCUUGCUCUUACGGGUGGCGAGUGGCGGACGGGUGAGGAAUACAUCGGAAUCUACUUUUUCGUGGGGGAUAACGUAGGGAAACUUACGCUAAUACCGCAUACGACCUACGGGUGAAAGCAGGGGAUCUUCGGACCUUGCGCGAUUGAAUGAGCCGAUGUCGGAUUAGCUAGUUGGCGGGGUAAAGGCCCACCAAGGCGACGAUCCGUAGCUGGUCUGAGAGGAUGAUCAGCCACACUGGAACUUGGACACGGUCCAGACUCCUACGGGAGGCAGCAGAGGGGAAUAUUGGACAAUGGGGGCAAGCCUGAUCCAGCCAUACCGCGUGGGUGAAGAAGGCCUUCGGGUUGUAAAGCCCUUUUGUUGGGAAAGAAAAGCAGCAGGUUAAUACCCAGCUGUUCUGACGGUACCCAAAGAAUAAGCACCGGCUAACUUCGUG